GACGAACGCUGGCGGCGUGCUUAACACAUGCAAGUCGAACGGUAAGGCCCUUCGGGGUACACGAGUGGCGAACGGGUGAGUAACACGUGGGUGGUCUGCCCUGCACUUCGGGAUAAGCCUGGGAAACUGGGUCUAAUACCGGAUAGGACCACUGCCUGCAUGGGUGGUGGUGGAAAGCUUUUGCGGUGUGGGAUGGGCCCGCGGCCUAUCAGCUUGUUGGUGGGGUGAUGGCCUACCAAGGCGACGACGGGUAGCCGGCCUGAGAGGGUGACCGGCCACGCUGGGACUGAGAUACGGCCCAGACUCCUACGGGAGGCAGCAGUGGGGAAUAUUGCACAAUGGGCGCAAGCCUGAUGCAGCGACGCCGCGUGAGGGAUGACGGCCUUCGGGUUGUAAACCUCUUUCAGCACCGACGAAGCGCAAGUGACGGUAGGUGCAGAAGAAGGACCGGCCAACUACGUGCCAGCCGCCGCAGUAA
Molecule: ribosomal RNA, 478 nt
Filed under: uncultured bacterium
Lineage: Bacteria
Description: partial 16S ribosomal RNA
Rfam family: Bacterial small subunit ribosomal RNA
Source: RNAcentral